CCCUGCUUAGCAGACUGAUUCUCUGCUCUUUACACUUGAUGUAAAGAAAUGUACACCAACUGCAUCUAUUUAGGAUUCAAAUGUCCAGGAGGUGAUAUUUUCCUUCUCUUCAGGUCUAAGUCAGCAAAGGCCUGAUCUGGUAGUCAGAGAACAAGGUUUGGUCUACAAUUAUUCAGAUGGUAGGGCAUCUACAUUGAUAAAAACGAUCCUGGAAUGGGUGGUCAAUGCAGAACACAUGCAGAAUUCAUAUCACACACAGAGUGAGGCGGGGAGACAUGUCGAACAUAUUGCAAAGUUUUCCCAUUAUCCAAAGGAAUCAGAUACAGCAGUCAGUGCACAUUAACACAUAGCUCCCAGACAUGACAGCUGCAGAACCCUGAGGACCUCGUGACGGAAAGAAUUGACCUCGUGUCAUCUAGGAACAGAGGGAAGGCAGCACGAACACGAGAGGCCAACACCUGGCUUCUAUUUCUAACUCUGCCGCAGACACUCUGGCAAUUUUUCCAGAAACCCUGUUUCCAGCAAUCCUGUUCCCUAGAAGGUCACCAUAUACAUUGUUUUCACCUCUCUUCUUCGCUCCUGCCUUUCCUGGGCUCAAGACUGCAAGCAGAACUAAAAUGUCACAGUUGCCACACUUAAAUUUGCUAAGAGAAUAGAUCUCAAAUGUUCUCAUCAGUAACAAAAAGAUAACUAUGUGAGGUGAUGGAUAUGUUAAUUGGCUUGAUUGAUUUCACAAUAUAUA
RNAcentral lists this long non-coding RNA (742 nucleotides) under Pan troglodytes (chimpanzee). RNAcentral describes it as "long non-coding RNA NONPTRT014061". The record is from RNAcentral. Lineage: Eukaryota; Metazoa; Chordata; Mammalia; Primates; Hominidae.